Oncorhynchus keta (chum salmon) is the source of this 579-nucleotide long non-coding RNA. RefSeq lists it as uncharacterized. The record is from RefSeq and is a predicted model, not a curated record. NCBI's taxonomy places the organism in Eukaryota, Metazoa, Chordata, Actinopteri, Salmoniformes, Salmonidae. The transcript is spliced from 5 exons.
CUCAGGUUGACUGUGUGAAUGUGUGUGUUGCUGACUGGUAGGGAUCAUACAUCUAUAGCCUGUGGUGGACUGGAGGGUCGACCCCCCUUUGUCUUCCCAGGUAAUUACCCCCCUUUGUCUUCCCAGGUAAUUACCCCCCUUUAUCUUCCCAGGUAAUUACCCCCCUUUAUCUUCCCAGGUAAUUACCCCCCUUUAUCUUCCCAGGUAAUUACCCCCCUUUGUCUUCCCAGGUAAUUACCCCCCUUUAUCUUCCCAGGUAAUUACCCCCCUUUAUCUUCCCAGGUAAUUACCCCCCUUUAUCUUCCCAGGUAAUUACCCCCCUUUAUCUUCCCAGGUAAUUACCCCCCUUUAUCUUCCCAGGUAAUUACCCCCCUUUAUCUUCCCAGGUAAUUACCCCCCUUUAUCUUCCCGGGUAAUUACCCCCCUUUAUCUUCCCGGGUAAUUACCCCCCUUUAUCUUCCCAGGUAAUUACCCCCCUUUAUCUUCCCAGGUAAUUACCCCCCUUUAUCUUCCCAGGUAAUUACCCCCCUUUAUCUUCCCAGGUAAUUACCCCCCUUUAUCUUCCCAGGUAAUUACCCC